Long non-coding RNA from Drosophila suzukii, 529 nucleotides. RefSeq lists it as uncharacterized. The record is from RefSeq and is a predicted model, not a curated record. Lineage: Eukaryota; Metazoa; Arthropoda; Insecta; Diptera; Drosophilidae.
GGUGUACCCUUGCCAUCACUGCCCUCCGCCCCCACCCACUGUCCCCACUUCUGGGUAUUUGUAGUGUGCUCCAGUACAACUUAUCCAAAUGCAGUGCAAACCGUUCGCUCAAGUUUGUGUAUUCGCUGUUCGCACGGCUCAAGAGAGCUGCCAUGGAAGUUGGAUUGAAUCGUUAAUUAAUGCAUGAUAAACUGGAGAGGCAAGGCCGGGCUCGGACUGUCUCCCCGUUUUGACAGUUUAUUUCAUAGGAUAUUUGUGUCGUUGAACGCCGGAUGGGAAUUUGCUGAAUUGUUGCAUGCUUGCUGGCAUGCGAGACAUUGGCAUGUGGCAAAGAUUGUUCGAAAUAUAUUGGAAUCCCAUCUGAAAAGUGCCCUGACUCGAACGGAUGUCGGUUUCGGUAUAGAGGGGAUGAGGAUAAGCGCAGUUGAUUGAAGCUAACCACGUUGAGUAGAAAAGAGACAUCUAUGACCCUCUGCCUAAAAGCCCAGAAUGUGAUUCAUUUGGAGUUUCGUCACCAACUGCUCAUGCU